This 87-nucleotide transfer RNA is filed under the name Gemmatimonadota bacterium. RNAcentral's name for it is "Gemmatimonadetes bacterium (sediment metagenome) tRNA-Leu". It matches the Rfam family "tRNA". Rfam says of the family: Transfer RNA (tRNA) molecules are approximately 80 nucleotides in length. Lineage: Bacteria; Pseudomonadati; Gemmatimonadota. The record is from RNAcentral.
GCUCCCGUGGCGGAAUUGGUAGACGCGCGAGAUUCAGGAUCUCGUGGGCGCAAGCCCGUAGAGGUUCGAGUCCUCUCGGGAGCACCU